GAAAUGCGAUAAGUAGUGUGAAUUGCAGAAUUCAGUGAAUCAUCGAAUCUUUGAACGCACAUUGCGCCCCUCGGUAUUCCGUGGGGCAUGCCUAUUCGAGCGUCAUUUCAACCAUCAAGCCCCCGGGCUUGUGUUGGGGACCUGCGGCUGCCCGCAGGCCCUGAAAACCAGUGGCGGGCUCGCUGUCACACCGAGCGUAGUAGCAAUCACCUCGCUCAGGGCGUGCUGCGGGUUCCGGCCGUUAAACAGCCUUACAAAACCCAAGGUUGACCUCGGAUCAGGUAGGAAGACCCGCUGAACUUAAGC
This 306-nucleotide unclassified non-coding RNA is filed under the name plant metagenome. RNAcentral describes it as "partial contains 5.8S ribosomal RNA, internal transcribed spacer 2, and large subunit ribosomal RNA". The stretch from base 1 to 105 matches the Rfam family "5.8S ribosomal RNA", at positions 50 to 154 of the family's 154-position model. The record is from RNAcentral.